CUAUGACAUGAAUUUGUCAUGGCGGAAGGAG
This 31-nucleotide non-coding RNA is filed under the name unclassified sequences. The record is from Rfam.